UUGACUUCAUGCAACUUCACGAUAUUGCGUUUCGGUUAUGCAAAAUUAUUUGCUAGCAAGUGUGGUGCACGAAAAUUAACCGGAGCAGUUAAGGUUCAUUCCGGUGCGCAUAAUUUGCAAGAACGAAACGCAGGUGCCAGCGGCCGGUCUGCGGCCAACUUCGUGUGGAAAGCGCGUGCGCUCAUUGGCUCUGCGCAACGCAGCUCAUCCCGUUCCGUUCCAAUAGCAGCCGGGCGGGGAUUGUUCCUGAGCUCAUUCACUUCACUUCCGCAUCGUUCAUUCGGCGACGCCAUAGAAGUUAUUAUAAAUAAACUCUUGUGUUUCUCUUUAGCUUUGCAUCUUCGCCAUUUUGUUUGCACAGUGUUUCGAGCUUUUACUAACAAUUUUCAGGUGUUUAACGUGUGUUUAACCAUAGUAAUAAUAGUGGAAAUUGACGGCACGUUCAGCGAUCACUAAAUUAGUGAUAAUUGUGUCAGAUUGUAUAGUUUAAACUGCCAGCUUCAAUCUUCUGGCUGGGCUUCGCGAUUGGUUUUCUGUGCUUGAAGCCUGAACAGCACUUUAUAUUAUUGUGUGCAAUUUGUAAUUUUUUUGAGGAAGUCGUGUUGUGUGUCACAAUAUGGCCGACGACGAUCUCAAAAGGUUAAGAGCGGCCAGGGGACAAUCAAAGGCGGCCAUUACGAGGAUGAUGGCCUUUAAGGCGACAGCGGAGGCUGCUUCUAGCAGCGAUGCGGACCCUCUGCUAUACCAGCAGAAGAAUGAUAGGCUUGAAAAGACUUUUCAAGAAUAUAAGGAACUCAACCUUGAAAUUUCAUUGUUGGACCCUGCGGAUUCCGAACGUGUUGAGGACUUCGAGGAGAAAUAUGAUCUGCUCAAAUCGUUCUAUGCGGGUGUAGUAAACAAGGCAUUGGACGCCUCUACGUCGAGCGUCUCACCGCAACCAUCCUUUUCGUCUCCUGGAGGCUGUAAUGCCUCGCCAUUUAGGCUGCCUCCAAUAAAUCUAAAAGUGUUCGCGGGAGAGAGCAACGGGCUGCUGCCUUGGAGUCCCUGGGAGAGCGGACGCCUUCAGGGCGCCGGUCUAGUUUAGUUGCAAGUAGUGUUAAAGUGGCCAAGCCGCUUAAGUCGGGUAUAAACAAAUGCGCUUUUGCCGGAGCAGCUGCCAGCCCUGCCUAGCAAGCUGAUCCUGCAGAAUACACGCUUUGGGUUUAU
This 1206-nucleotide unclassified non-coding RNA is filed under the name Leguminivora glycinivorella. Its description in RNAcentral is "uncharacterized LOC125229102, transcript variant X1". Lineage: Eukaryota; Metazoa; Arthropoda; Insecta; Lepidoptera; Tortricidae. The record is from RNAcentral.